This 472-nucleotide ribosomal RNA is filed under the name uncultured Desulfobulbus sp. RNAcentral's name for it is "bacterial SSU rRNA". It matches the Rfam family "Bacterial small subunit ribosomal RNA", at positions 916 to 1381 of the family's 1533-position model. The record is from RNAcentral. Lineage: Bacteria; Pseudomonadati; Thermodesulfobacteriota; Desulfobulbia; Desulfobulbales; Desulfobulbaceae.
CGGGGCCCGCACAAGCGUGGAGUAUGUGGUUUAAUUCGAUGCAACGCGAAGAACCUUACCUGGUCUUGACAUCCCGGAGACCCUUAGGAAACUAGGGGGUGCUUCCAUCUGGAAGAAUCUGGAGACAGGUGCUGCAUGGCUGUCGUCAGCUCGUGUCGUGAGAUGUUGGGUUAAGUCCCGCAACGAGCGCAACCCUUGCCUUUAGUUGCCAGCAGUUCGGCUGGGCACUCUAAAGGGACUGCCGGUGUUAAACCGGAGGAAGGUGGGGAUGACGUCAAGUCCUCAUGGCCUUUAUGACCAGGGCUACACACGUACUACAAUGGCCGAUACAAAGGGCAGCGACACUGCGAGGUGAAGCCAAUCCCGUAAAAUCGGUCUCAGUCCGGAUUGGAGUCUGCAACUCGACUCCAUGAAGUUGGAAUCGCUAGUAAUCGUGGAUCAGCAUGCCACGGUGAAUACGUUCCCGGGCCUU